GAUGAACGCUGGCGGCGUGCCUAAUACAUGCAAGUCGAGCGAACGGACGAGAAGCUUGCUUCUCUGAUGUUAGCGGCGGACGGGUGAGUAACACGUGGAUAACCUCCCUAUCAGACUGGGAUAACUUCGGGAAACCGGAGCUAAUACCGGAUAAUAUUUUGAACCGCAUGGUUCAAAAGUGAAAGACGGUCUUGCUGUCACUUAUAGAUGGAUCCGCGCUGCAUUAGCUAGUUGGUAAGGUAACGGCUUACCAAGGCAACGAUGCAUAGCCGACCUGAGAGGGUGAUCGGCCACACUGGAACUGAGACACGGUCCAGACUCCUACGGGAGGCAGCAGUAGGGAAUCUUCCGCAAUGGGCGAAAGCCUGACGGAGCAACGCCGCGUGAGUGAUGAAGGUCUUCGGAUCGUAAAACUCUGUUAUUAGGGAAGAACAUAUGUGUAAGUAACUGUGCACAUCUUGACGGUACCUAAUCAGAAAGCCACGGCUAACUACGUG
Molecule: ribosomal RNA, 497 nt
Filed under: uncultured bacterium
Lineage: Bacteria
Description: partial 16S ribosomal RNA
Rfam family: Bacterial small subunit ribosomal RNA
Source: RNAcentral